GCAUAUCAAUAAGCGGAGGAAAAGAAACCAACAGGGAUUGCCUUCAGUAACGGCGAAGUGAAGCGGCAAGAGCUCAAAUUUGAAAUCUGGCCCCCCGCGGGGGUCCGAGUUGUAAUUUGGAGAGGAUGCUUCGGGCACGGCCCCCGUCUAAGUGCCCUGGAACGGGCCGUCAUAGAGGGUGAGAAUCCCGUCUGGGACGGGUGGCCGGGCCCGUGUGAAGCUCCUUCGACGAGUCGAGUUGUUUGGGAAUGCAGCUCUAAAUGGGUGGUAAAUUUCAUCUAAAGCUAAAUAUUGGCCGGAGACCGAUAGCGCACAAGUAGAGUGAUCGAAAGAUGAAAAGCACUUUGAAAAGAGAGUUAAACAGCACGUGAAAUUGUUGAAAGGGAAGCGCUUGCGACCAGACUCGCCCGGGGGGGCUCAGCCGGCACUCGUGCCGGUGCACUCCCCCCCGGGCGGGCCAGCGUCGGUUCGGACGGCCGGUCAAAGGCCCCCGGAAUGUAGCACCCUCCGGGGUGUCUUAUAGCCGGGGGUGCAAUGCGGCCAGUCCGGACCGAGGAACGCGCUUCGGCUCGGACGCUGGCGUAAUGGUCGUAAGCGGCCCGUCUUGAAACACGGACCAAGGAGUCUAACAUCCACGCGAGUGUUCGGGUGUCAAACCCGUCCGCGCAGUGAAAGCGAACGGAGGUGGGAACCCCCCCGCGGGGUGCACCAUCGACCGAUCCUGAUGUCUUCGGAUGGAUUUGAGUAAGAGCGUGGCUGUUGGGACCCGAAAGAUGGUGAACUAUGCCUGAAUAGGGCGAAGCCAGAGGAAACUCUGGUGGAGGCUCGCAGCGGUUCUGACGUGCAAAUCGAUCGUCAAAUUUGGGUAUAGGGGCGAAAGACUAAUCGAACCAUCUGGUAGCUGGUUCCUGCCGA
Molecule: ribosomal RNA, 915 nt
Filed under: Rasamsonia cylindrospora
Lineage: Eukaryota; Fungi; Ascomycota; Eurotiomycetes; Eurotiales; Trichocomaceae
Description: LSU rRNA
Rfam family: Eukaryotic large subunit ribosomal RNA
Source: RNAcentral